GCGUGCGCAGGCGGUUGUGCAAGUCUGAUGUCGAAAGCCCCCGGGCUUAACCUGGGAACGGCAUUGGAGACUGCACGACUAGAGUGCGUCAGAGGGGGGUAGAAUUCCACGUGUAGCAGUGAAAUGCGUAGAGAUGUGGAGGAAUACCGAUGGCGAAGGCAGCCCCCUCGGGAUGACACUGACGCUCAUGCACGAAAGCGUGGGGAGCAAACAGGAUUAGAUACCCGAGU
This 230-nucleotide ribosomal RNA is filed under the name uncultured bacterium. RNAcentral's name for it is "partial 16S ribosomal RNA". It matches the Rfam family "Bacterial small subunit ribosomal RNA", at positions 565 to 791 of the family's 1533-position model. The record is from RNAcentral.